UACGGGGGGAGCAAGCGUUGUUCGGAUUUACUGGGCGUAAAGGGCGCGUAGGCGGCCACCGCAAGUCAAUUGUGAAAUCUCCGGGCUUAACUCGGAAAGGUCAACUGAUACUGCGGGGCUAGAGUGCGGAAGGGGCAACUGGAAUUCUCGGUGUAGCGGUGAAAUGCGUAGAUAUUGGGAGGAACACCAGUGGCGAAGGCGGCUCACUGGACCGGAACUGACGCUGAGGCGCGAAAGCGUGGGGAGCAAACAGG
This 254-nucleotide ribosomal RNA is filed under the name uncultured bacterium. RNAcentral's name for it is "partial 16S ribosomal RNA". It matches the Rfam family "Bacterial small subunit ribosomal RNA", at positions 524 to 776 of the family's 1533-position model. The record is from RNAcentral.